CAGUCGCCGCGGGAAUACAGAGGGUGCGAGCGUUAAUCGGAUUUACUGGGCGUAAAGCGUGCGUAGGCGGCUUUUUAAGUCGGAUGUGAAAUCCCUGAGCUUAACUUAGGAAUUGCAUUCGAUACUGGGAAGCUAGAGUAUGGGAGAGGAUGGUAGAAUUCCAGGUGUAGCGGUGAAAUGCGUAGAGAUCUGGAGGAAUACCGAUGGCGAAGGCAGCCAUCUGGCCUAAUACUGACGCUGAGGUACGAAAGCAUGGGGAGCAAACAGGAUUAGAUACCCGCGUAGUUCCUGUCUCUUAUAA
Molecule: ribosomal RNA, 301 nt
Filed under: uncultured bacterium
Lineage: Bacteria
Description: partial 16S ribosomal RNA
Rfam family: Bacterial small subunit ribosomal RNA
Source: RNAcentral